GACGAACGCUGGCGGCGUGCUUAACACAUGCAAGUCGAACGGAAAGGCCCUGCUUUUGUGGGGUUCUCGAGUGGCGAACGGGUGAGUAACACGUGAGUAUCCUGCUCUUGUCUUUGGGAUAACUUCAGGAAACUGGGGCUAAUACCGGACAGGAUAUCCUGCUGCAGGGUGGGGGUUGGAAAGUUUCGGCGGUUGGGGAUGGACUCGCGGCUUAUCGGCUUGUUGGUGGGGUAGUGGCUUACCAAGGCUUUGAAGGGUAGCCGGCCUGGGAGGGUGAACGGCGACAAGGGGACUGAGAUACGGAGCAGACUCCAACGGGAGGCAGCAGUGGGGAAUAUUGCACAAUGGGCGGAAGCCUGAGGCGGCAACGCCGCGUGCGUGAUGACGGCCUUCGGGUUGUGAACCGCUUUCGCCUGUGACGAAGCGUGAGUGACGGUAAUGGGUAAAGAAGCACCGGCUAACUACGUG
This 468-nucleotide ribosomal RNA is filed under the name uncultured bacterium. RNAcentral describes it as "partial 16S ribosomal RNA". It matches the Rfam family "Bacterial small subunit ribosomal RNA", at positions 28 to 507 of the family's 1533-position model. The record is from RNAcentral.